Molecule: long non-coding RNA, 248 nt
Organism: Platichthys flesus (European flounder)
Lineage: Eukaryota; Metazoa; Chordata; Actinopteri; Pleuronectiformes; Pleuronectidae
Exons: 3
Source: RefSeq, a predicted model, not a curated record
UGUGAGAGGAGAUGUGACCUGACAACUGUGAAGGAGGAGGAUGAUAACAAGUUUUUCGAAGACAUACCAAUUGGACUUGGAGCACAGUCAGAGGUGAAAAUCAACACGGGUUACUCAGCCCAAGCUGCGACCGAAACAUUCGCCCCUGCAUCAAGCGUCCUCCGCUUCCGGCUCUCUUGUGCUCACGAAAAAGGAAACUGGACAGUGUGUUCUAGUGGAGCGCCUGAGAGGUGCUUGAAAACUGAACA